UGUCGACUGGGAUAAUGGUAGUCCACCGCAUUGUUAAUGCGGAAGUUGUUGGUGCAAAUCCAACCUCGACAGCCA
Molecule: transfer RNA, 75 nt
Filed under: Verrucomicrobiaceae bacterium
Lineage: Bacteria; Pseudomonadati; Verrucomicrobiota; Verrucomicrobiia; Verrucomicrobiales; Verrucomicrobiaceae
Description: tRNA-Asn
Rfam family: tRNA
About the family: Transfer RNA (tRNA) molecules are approximately 80 nucleotides in length. Their secondary structure includes four short double-helical elements and three loops (D, anti-codon, and T loops).
Source: RNAcentral